CCUGAGAAACGGCUACCACAUCCAAGGAAGGCAGCAGGCACGCAAAUUACCCACUCCCGGCACGGGGAGGUAGUGACAAAAAAUAACGAUACGGGACUCAUCCGAGGCCCCGUAAUCGGAAUGAGAACAUUCUAAAUCCUUUAACUAGGAUCUAUUGGAGGGCAAGUCUGGUGCCAGCAGCCGCGGUAAUUCCAGCUCCAAUAGCGUAUAUUAAAGUUGUUGCGGUUAAAAAGCUCGUAGUUGGUUCUGCGUGCCACGCUGUCGGUUCACCGCCUGCCGGUGCAACUGGCAUGCCGUGGCAUGUCCUGUCGGUGGCGGACAGGCCUUGUGUGUGCGCCCUAUGCGGUGCAACCCACCGUGUAGGCUGCUGCGCCGCGAGGUCCUUGUUCGCCGGCUCAAUCCUACCGCGGUGCUCUUUACCGAGUGUCGAGGUAGGCCGACACUGUUUACUUUGAACAAAUUAGAGUGCUUAAAGCAGGCUCUUAAUUGAGCUUGAAUAGUGGYGCAUGGAAUAAUGGAACAGGACCUUGGUUCUAUUUUGUUGGUUUUCGGAAUCCAAGGUAAUGAUCAAUAAGGACAGGCGGGGGCAUACGUAUUGCGGCGUUAGACUUGGCAAAUGCUUUCGCGGUGAAAUUCUUGGAUCGUCGCAAGACGCACUAGAGCGAAAGCAUUUGCCAAGUAUGUCUUAAUUGAUCAAGAACGAAAGUUAGAGGUUCGAAGGCGAUCAGAUACCGCCCUAGUUCUAACCAUAAACGAUGUCAGCCAGCGAUCCGCAGAUGUUCCUCCGAUGACUCGGCGGGGAGCUUCCCCCGGGAAACCAAAGCUUUUGGGUUCCGGGGGAAGUAUGGUUGCAAAGCUGAAACUUAAAGGAAUUGACGGAAGGGCACCACCAGGAGUGGAGCCUGCGGCUUAAUUUGACUCAACACGGGAAACCUCACCAGGCCCGGACAUUAGAAGGAUUGACAGACCGAUAGCCCUUUCUCGAUUCAGUGGGUAGUGGUGCAUGGCCGUUCUUAGUUGGUGGACUGAUUUGUCUGG
This 1038-nucleotide ribosomal RNA is filed under the name Trisecus pictus. RNAcentral describes it as "SSU rRNA". It matches the Rfam family "Eukaryotic small subunit ribosomal RNA", at positions 397 to 1329 of the family's 1831-position model. Lineage: Eukaryota; Metazoa; Arthropoda; Insecta; Hemiptera; Idiostolidae. The record is from RNAcentral.